Molecule: transfer RNA, 74 nt
Filed under: Planctomycetes bacterium RBG_13_50_24
Lineage: Bacteria; Pseudomonadati; Planctomycetota
Description: tRNA-Asp
Rfam family: tRNA
About the family: Transfer RNA (tRNA) molecules are approximately 80 nucleotides in length.
Source: RNAcentral
GGGGCUGUAGCUCAAUUGGUUAGAGCGUCGGACUGUCGAUCCGAAGGUUGAGGGUUCGAGCCCCUUCAGCCUCG